GACGAACGCUGGCGGCGUGCUUAACACAUGCAAGUCGAACGGAAAGGCCCUGCUUGCAGGGUACUCGAGUGGCGAACGGGUGAGUAACACGUGGGUGAUCUGCCCUGCACUUCGGGAUAAGCUUGGGAAACUGGGUCUAAUACCGGAUAGGACCGCACUUUAGUGUGUGUGGUGGAAAGUUUUUUCGGUGUAGGAUGAGCUCGCGGCCUAUCAGCUUGUUGGUGGGGUAAUGGCCUACCAAGGCGGCGACGGGUAGCCGGCCUGAGAGGGUGUACGGCCACAUUGGGACUGAGAUACGGCCCAGACUCCUACGGGAGGCAGCAGUGGGGAAUAUUGCACAAUGGGCGCAAGCCUGAUGCAGCGACGCCGCGGGGGGGAGGAAGGCCUUCGGGUUGUAAACUCCUUUCGCUAGGGACGAAGCUUUUUGUGACGGUACCUAGAUAAGAAGCACCGGCUAACUACGUG
This 465-nucleotide ribosomal RNA is filed under the name uncultured bacterium. Its description in RNAcentral is "partial 16S ribosomal RNA". It matches the Rfam family "Bacterial small subunit ribosomal RNA", at positions 28 to 507 of the family's 1533-position model. The record is from RNAcentral.